This 2022-nucleotide long non-coding RNA is filed under the name Sus scrofa (pig). RNAcentral's name for it is "lncRNA (ENSSSCG00050043223.1)". The record is from RNAcentral. Lineage: Eukaryota; Metazoa; Chordata; Mammalia; Artiodactyla; Suidae.
CAUGUUUAUUCUAAUUACCUUAGCUUUGUGGUUCUAAGCAAGCAGUUUAGGAGUCCACUGCACUUCCAUUCCAAAAAUGAUAACAUACAGUGAAAGUGUUCCUCUAGAACACUUAAGGUGAAUUGUCAUAAUUAACACUAGUAUUCUGUGGGAGGACACAGAAAAUUGUUUCCUGAAGAAAAUAGCACCCAAAAUGCUUUUGAUUAAGUGAGGUUUAUCUCUUGGGUCUUGAGGAAUAGGAAAAGGUAAAUUGGUUUCUACAGAAAAAUUUUGGUGAGAGAUGUGCCUUGAAUUUGAAGUAACUUAUUAUGUAUCUGGCUCCAAACAGAUCUCAAAAGGAAGUUUUAAAAAUGAUCUUCACUUCAGAUUUUCAAUUGGAAGUCAGACUUAGCAUUUCUUACCUAUUAAGAAAGGAUAUUCCCAUCCUUUGGAGGCAAUAUAACAUCAUGGUUAUUAUCACCUCUGCUUUUGGGAUGAGAUAACUUUGGCUCAUCUCCUGCCUUAAUUACCUACUAUUAAGUGAUCUUUGGCAAGUUACUCAACUUGUCUGAAAGGUGUACCUACCUCAUAAAAAUGUUGUGAGGAUUUAAGAGUUAGCAAAUAAGUUUCUACUUUUCAGUAAUAUUUAAUAGGUGGUGGCAUGCCAUUAAUCUUGUGCAUCAACUAGAAAGAAAAGAAUAAUUAUAGAAAUCAUGCCGCAGAAGCGGCCCAAAGAAAUAGCAAAAAGACAAAANAAAAAAAAAAAAAAAAAAAAAAAAAAAAAAAAGAAAUCAUAUUUUAAAGGAUACUCUGAGAAUAGUGGAAACAAAAAAGACUAAAUGAACUAAUAUUCCAAAGGAGGAAGAGCUCUUCCUCAGUGAGCUGAUUUUAUUCUUUUCUUCCUUAUGGAGAUUUGCUGAGUCCAAGCAUGGGCUGAGGAUCAGGCAGAGGGACUAUAUUCGGGGAAGAGAAAUCAGCAGAGCUUUAGACCAUUGUAUGGCUUGGUAUGCUGGUUUAAAAUUUAGAGAAACCCCAAAUAUACAGACAGUUUGCCUGAUGGGGUAUUUGCUGAAUGCUGAGUUAGGGGUGCUAUAAGAAGCUAGGUGCUGGAUUGGAAAGGCAGAGUGAAAUAUCUUGUAGUCUCACAGUGCUAAUGAGAAAAAUCUUCCCUUGAGAUAAUGUCCUACGGUAAACACAUGACAGCUCUCACCUUGGAGAUAUAUGUGAACAGGUGAAAUUAACCUAAGUUAAGCUAAUAUCCAGUUCCUUGGAAGCUUAUUCCUGAAUGGAUUGAGAUGGUCAACCUUUCAUCUUAUCUGCAUAAUAGAGGUCAAGGUGAACACUCUCUGGAGGAAAACAACAAUAACUACAUUUUUCAAUGGUUCCUUUACACAUGAUAUCUGACAUAUAAUAAAAAAAAUCAGGAUACAUGCAAAGAGGUGAUAAAAGGUUUUACUAACAAGCGACAGAAAAGACAAUAAGAUAGACUAAAUUAUAUGUUGAAGUUAGUAGAUUUUAUAUAAAUAUAUUAAGGAACAUAAAGAAAAAUAAGGACAGAAUAGAUAGAAAGAAAACUUCAACACAACCUAUGUCAAAUAAUUAUGUAGCCAUUUGAAAAAUGUAAUAUCUAGACUUAAAAACUUAUUUGAUGUGUUUAACAGCAAAUUGGUCACAGCAAAAACAAGUUUAGUGAACCCAAAGAAGGAUCAAUAGAAAAUAAGCUAAAGUACAAAGAGGGUGAAAAAGGAAUAGAAAGAAUGGAAUAUAAGAUUCAUGAGGGAGUUCCCGUUGUGGCUCAGUGGUUAAGGAAUCUGACUAGGAACCAUGAGGUUGAGGGUUUGAUCCCUGGCCUUGCUCAGUGGGUUAAGGAUCCGGCGUUGCUGUGAGCUGUGGUGUAGGUUGCAGACGUGGCUUGUAUCCCGCAUUGCUGUGGCUCUGAUGUAGGCCGGCGGGUACAGCUCAGAUUGGACCCCUAGCCUGGGAACCUCCAUAUGCCGUGGGAGCGGCCCUAGAAACGGCAAAAAGACAAAAAAAAAAAAAAAA